This 2217-nucleotide long non-coding RNA is filed under the name Oryctolagus cuniculus (rabbit). RNAcentral's name for it is "lncRNA (ENSOCUG00000037367.1)". The record is from RNAcentral. Lineage: Eukaryota; Metazoa; Chordata; Mammalia; Lagomorpha; Leporidae.
CUUGGUGGAAGCAAAAUGGAUUGAUCUCACAGAAGUGAGACUGCAUCUCACAGAAGUGCAGACUGAAUAGUGGUGACCAGAGGCUGGGUGGAGAGGCAGAUGGAGAAGUAUUGGCCAAAAGGUACAAAAUUACAGUGAUGGGGCCAGCGCUGUGGCAUAGUAGGUUAAGCCUCUGCCUGCGGCACCCACAUCCCACGUGGGCCCCGGUUUGAGUCACAGCUGUUCUACUUCAUAUUCAGCUCCCUGCAAACGUGCCUGGGAAAGCAGUAAAAGAUGGCCCAAGUGCUUGGGCCCCUGCACCUGUGUGGGAGACCCAGAAGAAGCUCUUGGCUCCUGGCUUUGGAUUGGCCCAGCCCUGGCUGUUGCAGCCAUUUGGGGAGUGAACCAGAGGAUGGAAGAGCGCACUCUGUCUGUAACUGUGCCUCUCAAAUAAGUAAAUACAUCUUUUUUUAAAAAAAUUACAGUGACACAGGAGAGCUAAUGUCUGUGUUAUAGCACAGCAGAGUGAUGAUAUUUAAUAGUAACUUACUGUACAUUUCAAAAGAGCUGGGAGAGAGGAUUUUGAAUGUUCUCAGCACAAAGAAGUGAUCAGUGUUUUAGGUGAUGGGUAUAUGAAUUGCCCCAAUUUGGUCAUUACACAUUGUGCCCGUGUAUCAAAAUGUCACCAUGCACCCCCCAUAAUAUGUACCAUGUUAAUGUGUCAGUUACAAAUCAAGAGUCCCCAUCUCGGGGGUGGGGGUGAGUCUUCAAGCUCACGAUAAAUCUUUCCUGGCCCCUGUUUCGCUCCUUUUUGGCCAACACAUCUUCUAUGUUGGUGGCAAUUACAGGACAGCGUGGUCCUCUGCUCAUCGUUGUGAGGUCUCGAUGAGAAGAAACGUUUGCUCCAGAAAUGUAGGAAAGGAACCGUUUCCUCCCAGAUUUGAAAACUUCCAAGUGUGAUACAGAAUAGUUUGAAAACUAGUUAGUCAUGCACAUUAGUUAAGAUGUUUUUUCCCCCUCUCCAAACAGCAGAGACCAGUUCUGGCUGGUUUCAUCUAAAGAAGAAUUUUUGGAAGAAAACUGGGCAAUUGGAAAAGAAAGCAUGGGUGUGUCUGCAGACCCCACAGUGGGUGAACUUGAGCCUCUCCCCAGUCUCCCCAGUUCUCCAGUUUUUCCCAACUUGGCAUUUGGACUGUCCCAUAAGUGACACAAAAGGCAUCAGCUCCCCAUCAUGGUGAGGUUCCAGUGAGGCAGAGCUGCUAACGUUAGACCUGGCCCUGGAAGGAGCUGCUUCCUCCAUCCGAACCUCGGCAGCUCCCGGUUGGCGGUCAGUGGCAUGACCUUCACCACCGCCCGCCCCUCCUUGCCACCUCACGUCAGGGUGGCAUCAGCAUCCUCGCUUCUCGGCUGUCUACAGCUGCAUCACAGGUCCUGGGUCAGCAUCCUGUCUCCGGCGCUUGAAGAGGAGUCUGGCCGAGGCAGACGGUCGGUCUUUGCCGAAUGUAUGAAUGAAUGAAUGAGAAGCAGGUGUCUCCAUCUUCCAGGGGAGGGAGGACUGUGCCCUGUCAGUGAGUUCCACAAAGUGGCAGAGUAGGUGGGCGGCUCGCUGAGUGCUCCGCUCCCGCCCCCAGGGAAGCAACACUGGCUCCCAGAGCAGGUGGCUUGGCGGCACCAGGGUCAGUGGUCUCAAUCCUAACAGCCGUGUUCUCUGCAACUCGCUGUGUCUGUGACAUUCUGGGGGAAGCUCCCCCCAGGUUUAAGCAUGUCCUUCGAGUGGUUUUGCCUCUCUCCUUCUAAGCAAACAUAAAGUCAUCUUUUUAAACGGCAUUACAAAAGAGGUCAGCUCACCGCCCUCGGCCCUGCGUGCACACGCGGAUGGGCCCGCGCACAGCCAUGCGGGAGCCGCUGAGGGCGCUGCUCUUGUUCCCUCCCAAGCACGCGAGCUCCACCAUUUCCUAAUGGGGGUGGGGGCGCUGAUGUCCCAUGAUUGGAAGAUGUCACCCUGUGUGACUAAUUUACCGGCAGGGCCUAAUUGAAGCUUGGCGUCACCUGCGGCUCCCGGGCCGUCUUUCCGCCGAGGUGCGGGGGAGGCGCCGUGGCCGGGAGCCAGGCACGGGAGUGGUGGGCGAUGUGUUACUCCUCCGUCUCUUAGCACUGCGGAAGGACUGGAUGGGACAUCAGCUGCGGUUGAAAUGGGCUUGGCUGUAAAGGGAAACUCGGGCUGGACUAGCCGGUGUG